RNAcentral lists this ribosomal RNA (253 nucleotides) under uncultured bacterium. RNAcentral describes it as "partial 16S ribosomal RNA". It matches the Rfam family "Bacterial small subunit ribosomal RNA", at positions 524 to 776 of the family's 1533-position model. The record is from RNAcentral.
UACGGGGGGUGCAAGCGUUGUUCGGAAUUAUUGGGCGUAAAGCGCGUGUAGGCGGUUUGUUAAGUCUGAUGUGAAAGCCCUGGGCUCAACCCAGGAAGUGCAUUGGAUACUGGCAGACUUGAAUACGGGAGAGGGUAGUGGAAUUCCUGGUGGAGCGGUGAAAUGCGUAGAUAUCAGGAGGAAUACCAGUGGCGAAGGCGGCUACCUGGACCGAUACUGGCGCUGAGACGCGAAAGCGUGGGGAGCAAACAGG